This 497-nucleotide ribosomal RNA is filed under the name uncultured bacterium. RNAcentral describes it as "partial 16S ribosomal RNA". It matches the Rfam family "Bacterial small subunit ribosomal RNA", at positions 28 to 507 of the family's 1533-position model. The record is from RNAcentral.
GAUGAACGCUGGCGGCGUGCCUAAUACAUGCAAGUCGAGCGAACGGACGAGAAGCUUGCUUCUCUGAUGUUAGCGGCGGACGGGUGAGUAACACGUGGAUAACCUACCUAUAAGACUGGGAUAACUUCGGGAAACCGGAGCUAAUACCGGAUAAUAUUUUGAACCGCAUGGUUCAAAAGUAAAAGACGGUCUUGCUGUCACUUAUAGAUGGAUCCGCGCUGCAUUAGCUAGUUGGUAAGGUAACGGCUUACCAAGGCAACGAUGCAUAGCCGACCUGAGAGGGUGAUCGGCCACACUGGAACGGAGACAAGGUCCAGACUCCUACGGGAGGCAGCAGUAGGGAAUCUUCCGCAAUGGGCGAAAGCCUGACGGAGCAACGCCGCGUGAGUGAUGAAGGUCUUCGGAUCGUAAAACUCUGUUAUUAGGGAAGAACAUAUGUGUAAGUAACUGUGCACAUCUUGACGGUACCUAAUCAGAAAGCCACGGCUAACUACGUG